GCACCAGCAGUUCUGAAGAUCUUUUCGAAGAAGACCAAGGAGGAGCAUCAUGGACCGUGACUGUAAAUGCGGAGAUCCCAAGUGCAUCUGCACCGACUCGUGCAAGUGUCCGGCUGGAGAGUGCCCUUGUGACAAGUGCAAGCCGAAGAGCGCUGAGAAGAAAUGCUGCUGUUAAGCGUGGUGCUUGCUCCAGAUUGCCGUGGUUCCCCACAACCCCCGAAAAACAUCAUGCGACCUCAUAGACAUCGACAACACCGUCAAUAAAUAUUUAUUUAUGAAAUGAA
Ixodes scapularis (black-legged tick) is the source of this 284-nucleotide long non-coding RNA. RefSeq lists it as uncharacterized. The transcript is spliced from 3 exons. NCBI's taxonomy places the organism in Eukaryota, Metazoa, Arthropoda, Arachnida, Ixodida, Ixodidae. The record is from RefSeq and is a predicted model, not a curated record.